Molecule: long non-coding RNA, 208 nt
Filed under: Elaeis guineensis (African oil palm)
Lineage: Eukaryota; Viridiplantae; Streptophyta; Magnoliopsida; Arecales; Arecaceae
Description: long non-coding RNA (EGUI_LNC020296)
Source: RNAcentral
AAUCUGUUAAUCUCCAUCUUGAUUGAGCAUAUUUUCUCCAUCUUCAAUCUUGAUCACCACUACUACAAUCUAUGCCCUGAUACCGUCUAGCUCUGAUACCAAUUGUUGCGAUAUCACUUGCUCGGAUAUCUCUUGUUGUGCAAGAUCUAGUACCAUGUGUUGCAGUAGGAAGAAAGAAAAAAUAAAAUAAAAAAAUAAUUAAGCACGA